AAAUCACACUUAGCCCUGAUACCUGCCUCCCGCAGUGGAAAUGGUGUCCUGGCCGCAGCCCAUGCGCUGCCAGGGUGCAGAAAGAAAUGCCUGCAUCUCCCGAACUGGAAAGGUGUGCCCG
This 121-nucleotide non-coding RNA is filed under the name uncultured Erwinia sp. RNAcentral describes it as "Moco (molybdenum cofactor) riboswitch". It matches the Rfam family "Molybdenum/Tungsten riboswitch aptamer (Moco RNA motif)", at positions 7 to 125 of the family's 135-position model. Lineage: Bacteria; Pseudomonadati; Pseudomonadota; Gammaproteobacteria; Enterobacterales; Erwiniaceae. The record is from RNAcentral.